AUGUGUCUACAGGAUACCUUGUUGGAAUGCCUUAGAAACAAAUUUAAAAAAGAAAGGAUUCCCUUGGUUAGCUCAUCGAUCGUCCUGCAAAUGAAGGAGAAGUAUGGGAUUAAAAGGAAGUGUGCUGGACAAACAGAUUCUGAGGAACUUAGUCAACAACAAGAGGAACCCAAAGGUGCUACACCAACCAUAGUGUUUAACGGCUCUCCUGAUCCCCUCAAGGCUGAAAGCGUCAGCAUUAUAAUGGACAAUGUGAGCAUCAUAAGAGAGGCAGACACUGACAUGACACAGGCUGUGGAAUGCCUAUUUGCAGUUUAUUUUCUCUUCAAUGUGCAAUACCCGGUUGACAUUAAGCACACAAUGACUUUUAUUCAAAAAUAUAUGCUUAAACUUAGACAAGAGCAUGGCAAAAGAACACCAAUACCUGUACUGAAAAUGUACAGUCAACUUGUGUAAAUUGUAGAGCUAUUUAAUAGUUGUUUUAAUUGUUCAUGUAUUUUUAUCUGCACUGUCAAAUAUCAAAAAUGAUUUGUUUUUCCUCAUUUCAGAGAUAUAUGUAAAAGUAAUGUACUGUAUAUGUACAUAAACAAGCUUAUGUAUGUUUAUUGCAAAGUGAAAAUGCUUAAAUGAAAUAAUUCAAACUAAAUGGUUAAAUGUAAUUAAACAUCUUAAAUGUAAAAUAUGAAAUUUGCUGUCUAAUACAGAGUAUACAGAGGUGCAAUUUUAAAUGACACAAAUAUUUUUGUAUAAUCAGUUGAAUAAAUUUAAACAUUUAGAAUUUUCUGGAUUGUUU
Cyprinus carpio (common carp) is the source of this 793-nucleotide long non-coding RNA. Lineage: Eukaryota; Metazoa; Chordata; Actinopteri; Cypriniformes; Cyprinidae. The record is from Ensembl.